This 200-nucleotide long non-coding RNA is filed under the name Panax ginseng (ginseng). RNAcentral describes it as "long non-coding RNA (PGIN_LNC017915)". The record is from RNAcentral. Lineage: Eukaryota; Viridiplantae; Streptophyta; Magnoliopsida; Apiales; Araliaceae.
AAAAAAUAAGAAAAUAAAUAUUAACUGCGACGCCCCCAAAAUAUGUAUACAUCACCCAUCUUGGGUCGCCAGAUACAAGGUACUGAAUACAAAUACAAACUAAUUAUACAACAGUCGUGUAAAAUACGACAAAACAUAGGCUGUGAGUUUUAAUACAAAUAUUGUCAUCUAGACAAUAUCCACACUCAAUGGAGUCCUCA